UGGGUAGUAUCAGAAAUGAACUGCACCAGUUUGUAUUUGUGUGUUUUUUUUAUUCUGCUCAUAUUAGAAAUAAAUGAGACAGAUUU
Regulatory RNA element from Clostridium acetireducens DSM 10703, 86 nucleotides. It matches the Rfam family "pan motif". The record is from Rfam. Lineage: Bacteria; Bacillati; Bacillota; Clostridia; Eubacteriales; Clostridiaceae.